This 3107-nucleotide unclassified non-coding RNA is filed under the name Megachile rotundata (alfalfa leafcutting bee). RNAcentral's name for it is "forkhead box protein O, transcript variant X4". Lineage: Eukaryota; Metazoa; Arthropoda; Insecta; Hymenoptera; Megachilidae. The record is from RNAcentral.
AUGACUUCAAGAUGGCGGAUUGCACUUCACGGCCGCUUUUCAAGUGUCUUAUUAAAAGUGGGAAAUUUAAGAAAUUAAGAAUGAAUGCUAUGAAAAGUGAAGUGAGAUGACCUCAAGAUGGCGAAUGAGACUUCAUGAACGCUUUUCAAAUGUCUUAUCAAAGUGAAGUCGUGAGAUGACCUCAAGAUGGCAGAUGAGACUUCAUGGACGCUUUUCAAAUGUCUUAUCAAAGAACUCCAUCAGACACAACUUGUCGUUGCACAGUAGAUUCAUGCGUGUACAGAACGAAGGUACCGGCAAGAGUUCUUGGUGGAUGAUCAACCGGGACGCGAAACCUGGCAAGUCGUCGCGCAGGAGGGCAAUCACGAUGGAAACCAGCAAAUUCGACAAACGACGUAGACAGGUGAGAAAGAAGAUCGAAGCUCUAAAAAAUGGCGGUCUACAGCCUGACGCGACACCUAGCCCGAGCAAUAGCGUGAACGAGGGAUUAGAUCUCUUCCCAGAUAGUCCUCUUCAACCCGGCAGUGGGUUCCAGCUCUCACCUGAUUUCCGUCCCCGAGCUUCGAGCAAUGCGUCAUCCGGUGGUCGGUUAAGUCCCAUUCCGUCGAUCCCUGGCAAACCGGAGUGGACACCGACCUACACACCUUCUUACAAUCUGGAACAAUUAGCCGGCAGCCUUGCGGAAGCAAUGAAAUUGGAAUCGUAUCAGAUGUACCAAACGUCUCCACCGAAUCAUCAGCAACAAACAGGUCCACCACCUUCCUAUUACGAGACCCAGUACCAGAGGAGCAAUAGCCUUACCACAGGGUCGUCCUCGUUCGUAAUGCAGCCCACUACUCAAUCAGCGAAUCAGCAGAGAUGCUCGAUUCACGGUUUGCAACCGUGCGCCUGUCAAAUGAAUUUGAGCCCAGUAGCAGGAAUGUCGCCAUCAUACCAGCAAAGCGAACCCAGUCCCACAGCGUUGGGCAACAGUCAGCAGCAGACCCUCCAAUACAUAAUGCAAACGCAACAGCAAUCGCAGCAGCAGCAACAGCAACAGCAGCAGCAGCAACAACAGCAACAGCCACAAACGGGAGCAACGGGAUCCAGUCCACCUCAUACACCCACACCAUGCGAACCCACGCCCAGUACGAUGAUGGGACAGUUAAUGGGCGCUCUGAACAAUUCCACGCUGCUCGAUGAUUUGAACAUCAACAUCGAAUCGUUGCAUGGAGGAUUUGACUGCAAUGUUGAAGAAGUGAUCAAACACGAGCUGUCGAUGGACGGAACGUUGGACUUCAACUUCCAGCAGGGCGUGAUGAGCACAGCGGCGAUUCAAGUGAGCGACAGCAACGUAGGACAAAAUGGCGGCGUGUCGCAGAACAACGUGGUGGUCGGAACGACGGCUGGAAACGCACCCGCAGGAGUUUACGUAAGCAGCAACGCGGCGACUCCUGCUGCACCUCCCUCGUGGGUUCACUAACUCAUGGAACCCCAUCGCCCUCGACACACCCGUAGUCCUUGCCAUCGACGUCUUUUGACGGACACGAUUAUUUCUGCGCACCGUCCGAGGGACAGCUCAUCGGUGUCCCAUGGGUCGAGGACGAGCGGGAUCGUCGAGUACUUGUGAUAAGGUGUAGGAAUAAUUAUACCGGACCACGACCACGAUACGUACCGUACCACCAAACGUACUUCAAUGCCGAUCUACGUGCAACCGUGGGGCCAGGCACCAUGAUCUUAACGUUUCACGGUCAGCCAUUGUUUCGUUGAACAGAUGCAAAACCUCAGUGAGAUCUCAAUCUGUUCAAACGCUGAAAUUGGACAUUCGAGAUCAUGCUUCUAUAUAAAAGUCCGCGAGUUGAUUUUGUCGCAUUUUCGGAGUUCCCUCGGUACAAGGGUACUCGACUAACCGUUAGAAUUAUUUAUUUUACGUUUAGAAGUGUCCGUGAAUUCGUUGACAUUUGGUACGGAGGCGCUUGUAAGGACUAUACAACAAAAAACGGAAAGUUCCUGCUCGUUUUUUGUUCUUGUGACAAUCGCAAAUGCUCAGGCGUGGUCCAACGGCGGAGUCCACUUCGUUUCUUUUCCCCACGAGCUCAUGCCUCCCUCUCGGCCAUUUAUUUUGAAGAAAUAACGCGGAGUACGUUUGUGCGGUAGCGUGACUGCGCAUGCGCCGUGGAUCGCGCAUGCGCGCGACGCGGAAAAUGGCGGACCGCGCAUGGGCCGAUGAAAGGACGAUGACUCGCCGACAAAUGUUUCGUCGUGCGUACACGAUCUCUGUUCUCUAUAAAAGUAACCUCAUGUGCUUCUCGGCGCACACUAUACAUAUAUAAAUAAAUAUAGAUAUAAAUAUAUUAUAAAUAAAUGAAUAUAUGUAUUCACAGGCACACACACAUACACGGACACGUACACAGACACAUAGAUAUGCGAAGGAUAUACACUAUUAUACUGUAUAUGUAACUAGAAAUAUUUACGAAGAGAAAUUGUUCGCGAAUGUCGCUGCAAGUUCUGUUACGGUAUACAUGUAUGAUAUUAAAUAUAUAACUGCGUAUGUAUAGCGUGUAUCAUACAUGUAUAUGAUAUUAUAUAUGGAUAAGAAAUAUUUAGUAUAUUCUAUAGAAUAUUGUACGUUCGCUAAUGUUAUGUAUAGUAUACAAAGAAGAAAUAUUGCGUAUAUAUGUGUAUGUAUGUAUACAGAUGUACAUACAUAUAUAUAAAUGAUUAUGUGUAUAAUAAUAUAUAGAUAAAACGAGUACAUAGGUUAUGUAUAGGAUAAGCUUAGGUACAAUUUAACGUAAGCAAGCUGCUAGAGGUAGACUUGGAAAUGGAAGAAGUUUUAGUCACAUGGUUAAGCCGCAGUUGACGUGAUGACGAAAUGCUCAUUCUGCGUGGCUUCUUUUCAAAUCGUCGCGUCGUUUCGUGAACGUAGGCGACACGUUGGUGCUUUUCGAUAGGUGAACGUUUCUUUCUUGUUCUCUUGCGUUUCCUGUUGGCGGUACACCUUAGGUCGGCGGUGGGCAACCGAGCUGCCCAGGGCAAAUUUCCAAUGUUCUUCUCCUUUAAAUUAUCAAGUUUUCGAUAUUCGAUAUUUUCAAAUCCAACAUUUUCCGAAUUUUUAACUUACAAAA